RNAcentral lists this unclassified non-coding RNA (222 nucleotides) under uncultured Crepidotus. RNAcentral describes it as "sequence contains ITS2". Lineage: Eukaryota; Fungi; Basidiomycota; Agaricomycetes; Agaricales; Crepidotaceae. The record is from RNAcentral.
AAUUCUCAACUUUUGCUGGCUUUGCUUAUAAGGCUUGACACAAAAGUGUGGAUGUGGAGGAUUAUCUUUGCAGGCUCUUUUGAGAGCCAGCUCCUCUGAAAAGCAUUAGUAGCGCCCUCUAGUGGCUGACUUUUGGCAUGAUAAUUAUCACUGUCAUCAGUUGCCACACAUUUAUGUUGGCAAUGCUGCUUAUAACAGUCUAAAUAGACAAGUAAAUGACAA